RNAcentral lists this ribosomal RNA (113 nucleotides) under uncultured bacterium. RNAcentral's name for it is "partial 16S ribosomal RNA". It matches the Rfam family "Bacterial small subunit ribosomal RNA", at positions 530 to 643 of the family's 1533-position model. The record is from RNAcentral.
GGAUGCGAGCGUUAUCCGGAUUUAUUGGGUUUAAAGGGAGCGCAGGCUGCGGGGCAAGUCAGCGGUCAACUGUCGGGGCUCAACCCCGGCCUGCCGUUGAAACUGUCCUGCUC